GUUUUAGAUGGCCAUGCGUACCAUUAGUUAGUUGGUAAGGUAACGGCUUACCAAGGCGAUGAUGGUUAGGGGUCCUGAGAGGGUAAACCCCCACACUGGUACUGAGACACGGACCAGACUUCUACGGAAGGCAGCAGUGAGGAAUAUUGGUCAAUGGGCGCAAGCCUGAACCAGCCAUGCCGCGCGCAGGAAGACGGCCCUACGGGUUGUAAACUGCUUUUCUAUGGGAAGAAUUCCUACCUAUAUAGGUGGGUUGACGGUACCACAGGAAUAAGCAUCGGCUAACUCCGUGCCAGCAGCCGCGGUAAUACGGAGGAUGCAAGCGUUAUCCGGAUUUAUUGGGUUUAAAGGGUGCGCAGGCGGUGGAACAAGUCAGUGGUGAAAGCCCGGGGCUUAACUUCGGGAUUGCCAUUGAAACUGUUUCACUUGAGUGUAGUUGAGGACGGCGGAAUGAGUUGUGUAGCGGUGAAAUGCAUAGAUAUAACUCAGAACACCAAUUGCGAAGGCCAGCUGUCUAGACUACAACUGACGCUGAGGCACGAAAGCGUGGGUAGCGAACAGGAUUAGAUACCCUGGUAGUCCACGCUGUAAACGAUGAUCACUCGUUGUUGGCUACUUAGUAGUCAGUGACUAAGGGAAACCGAUAAGUGAUCCACCUGGGGAGUACGUCGGCAACGAUGAAACUCAAAGGAAUUGACGGGGGCCCGCACAAGCGGAGGAACAUGUGGUUUAAUUCGAUGAUACGCGAGGAACCUUACCUGGGCUUAAAUGCUGGCUGCAUUCACGCGAAAGCGUGAUUUCCUACGGGACCGCCAGCAAGGUGCUGCAUGGUUGUCGUCAGCUCGUGCCGUGAGGUGUCGGGUUAAGUCCCAUAACGAGCGCAACCCCUAUCGUUAGUUGCCAGCAUGUAAUGGUGGGGACUCUAACGAGACUGCCGGUGUAAACCGGAGGAAGGUGGGGAUGACGUCAAAUCAGCACGGCCCUUACGUCCAGGGCUACACACGUGUUACAAUGGCCGGUACAAAGAGCAGCCACCUGGCGACAGGGUGCUAAUCUCUAAAACCGGUCUCAGUUCGGAUCGAAGUCUGCAAUUCGACUUCGUGAAGAUGGAUUCGCUAGUAAUCGCGCAUCAGCCAUG
RNAcentral lists this ribosomal RNA (1138 nucleotides) under uncultured organism. Its description in RNAcentral is "bacterial SSU rRNA". It matches the Rfam family "Bacterial small subunit ribosomal RNA", at positions 218 to 1357 of the family's 1533-position model. The record is from RNAcentral.